UAGCGUAGGAGACGAGCGUUAGUCCGGAGUUACUGGGCGUAAAGGGUGCGCAGGUGGACCUGUGCGCGUGGGGGGUGAAAUCGCCCGGCUUAACUGGGCGGGGGCCUUCCAGACGGCGUGAGCUUGAGCAGCGGAGGGGGACGUGGAAUUCCGGGUGGAGCGGUGAAAUGCGUAGAGAUCCGGAGGAACACCGACGGCGCAGGCAGCGUCCUGGCCGCUUGCU
This 223-nucleotide ribosomal RNA is filed under the name uncultured bacterium. RNAcentral's name for it is "partial 16S ribosomal RNA". It matches the Rfam family "Bacterial small subunit ribosomal RNA", at positions 523 to 741 of the family's 1533-position model. The record is from RNAcentral.